GGCAGCGGCCGUUACACCGCGGCGCGCCCCAAGCACGCAUGCACACUGCUUCACCCCCCCCUUGUCCUUUACCCCGCGGGCCGCCAUUCGCUGGGCGCCCAGCCCGCCUCCCCGGCCUCUCACUGCCGGCCCUGCGCAUGUGUUGUAGGAGGGGGAGCGUUACCUAUACAAAUAACACAUUUUAAGAAGUCAAGCCCCAAGGAACUGUUAGGUGGAAAUAUAUUGCCAGGACUGGUUGUGGAAUUGUCAUCCCUGGAGCUUCAGCUGUCCAAAGUCAUGUUUGAGUGUCACUUUUGUCCUGAGGCUGGACAGGGAUCCUCUCUGGCCUGCAUUUCAAGUUUUUAUAGUAGUUGGU
This 355-nucleotide long non-coding RNA is filed under the name Cairina moschata (Muscovy duck). Its description in RNAcentral is "domestica (muscovy Duck (domestic type)) lncRNA (ENSCMMG00000014413.1)". Lineage: Eukaryota; Metazoa; Chordata; Aves; Anseriformes; Anatidae. The record is from RNAcentral.